AUUGAACGCUGGCGGCAUGCCUUACACAUGCAAGUCGAACGGUAACGGGCCUUCGGGUGCCGACGAGUGGCGAACGGGUGAGUAAUACAUCGGAACGUGCCCGAUCGAGGGGGAUAACGAGGCGAAAGCUUUGCUAAUACCGCAUACGAUCUACGGAUGAAAGCAGGGGACCGCAAGGCCUUGCGCGGACGGAGUGGCCGAUGGCAGAUUAGGUAGUUGGUGGGAUAAAAGCUUACCAAGCCGACGAUCUGUAGCUGGUCUGAGAGGAUGAUCAGCCACACUGGGACUGAGACACGGCCCAGACUCCUACGGGAGGCAGCAGUGGGGAAUUUUGGACAAUGGGCGCAAGCCUGAUCCAGCCAUGCCGCGUGCAGGAUGAAGGCCUUCGGGUUGUAAACUGCUUUUGUACGGAACGAAAAGCCUUCUUUUAAUACAGGAGGGUCAUGACGGUACCGUAAGAAUAAGCACCGGCUAACUACGUG
RNAcentral lists this ribosomal RNA (482 nucleotides) under uncultured bacterium. RNAcentral's name for it is "partial 16S ribosomal RNA". It matches the Rfam family "Bacterial small subunit ribosomal RNA", at positions 30 to 507 of the family's 1533-position model. The record is from RNAcentral.